This 223-nucleotide ribosomal RNA is filed under the name uncultured bacterium. RNAcentral describes it as "partial 16S ribosomal RNA". It matches the Rfam family "Bacterial small subunit ribosomal RNA", at positions 524 to 746 of the family's 1533-position model. The record is from RNAcentral.
UACGUAGGCAGCAAGCGUUGUUCGGAAUUACUGGGCGUAAAGCGAGUGUAGGCGGUUUGCCAAGUCCGUUGUGAAAUCUCCCGGCUCAACUGGGAGGGUGCGCCGGAAACUGGCAGGCUAGGGUGCGGUAUGGGAGAGUGGAAUUCCUGGUGUAGCGGUGAAAUGCGUAGAUAUCAGGAGGAACACCGGUGGUGAAGACGGCUCUCUGGACCGUUACCGACGC